Molecule: ribosomal RNA, 253 nt
Filed under: uncultured bacterium
Lineage: Bacteria
Description: partial 16S ribosomal RNA
Rfam family: Bacterial small subunit ribosomal RNA
Source: RNAcentral
UACGUAGGUGGCAAGCGUUAUCCGGAAUUACUGGGCGUAAAGGGCGUGUAGGCGGGAAGACAAGUCGGGAGUGAAAUCCCAGGGCUUAACCCUGGAGCUGCUUCCGAAACUGUUUUUCUUGAGUAUCGGAGAGGAAAGUGGAAUUCCCAGUGUAGCGGUGAAAUGCGUAGAGAUUGGGAGGAACACCAGUGGCGAAGGCGACUUUCUGGACGAUUACUGACGCUGAGGCGCGAAAGCGUGGGGAGCAAACAGG